UAGCUCAAUGGUUGAGCGUUGGCUUUGAGAGCCACAGGUCGGUGGUUCGAACCCACC
Molecule: transfer RNA, 57 nt
Filed under: Phytophthora infestans (potato late blight agent)
Lineage: Eukaryota; Oomycota; Peronosporomycetes; Peronosporales; Peronosporaceae
Also listed under: 1 other name
Rfam family: tRNA
About the family: Transfer RNA (tRNA) molecules are approximately 80 nucleotides in length. Their secondary structure includes four short double-helical elements and three loops (D, anti-codon, and T loops).
Source: Rfam by way of RNAcentral